UUAAGUUUUUAAGAGCACAUGGUGAAUGCCUUGGCAGUAGGAGCCGAAGAAGGACGUUGUAGCCUGCGAAAAGCCUCGGGGAGCUGGCAAACAAGCUUUGAUCCGAGGAUGUCCGAAUGGGGAAACCCCGCUGGAGUCAUGUCCAGUGACUCUCGCCUGAACACAUAGGGCGAGUAGAGGGAACGUCGGGAAGUGAAACAUCUCAGUACCGACAGGAAGAGAUAUUCCGUGAGUAGUGGCGAGCGAAACCGGAAAAGGCCAAACCGUUAGCGUGUGAUAGCCGGCAGGCGUUGCGUUAGCGGUGUUGUGGGACCUUUCUGAUGGAUCUGCCGAUCCGUCAAGGAGUCAAAAAUCUGCGUGAUAGUCGAAGGGCAUUGAAAGGCCCGGCACAGAGGGUGUAACCCCCGUAGACGAAAUUUCGCAGACUCCUGAGAGUCAUCCCAAGUAGCACGGGGCCCGAGAAAUCCCGUGUGAAUCCGCGAAGACCACUUCGUAAGCCUAAAUACUACCUACUGACCGAUAGUGAAUCAGUACCGUGAGGGAAAGGUGAAAAGUACCCCGAGAGGGGAGUGAAAUAGUACCUGAAACCGUGUGCUUACAAUCCGUUGGAGCCUCCCUAGCAGGGGUGACAGCGUGCCUUUUGAAGAAUGAGCCUGCGAGUUAGUGGUAUGUGGCAAGGUUAACCCGUGUGGGGUAGCCGUAGCGAAAGCGAGUCCGAAUAGGGCGUUUGAGUCGCAUGCUCUAGACCCGAAGCGAAGUGAUCUAUCCAUGGCCAGGUUGAAGCGCGGGUAAGACCGCGUGGAGGACCGAACCCACUUCAGUUGAAAAUGGAGGGGAUGAGCUGUGGAUAGGGGUGAAAGGCCAAUCAAACUUCGUUAUAGCUGGUUCUCCCCGAAAUGCAUUUAGGUGCAGCGUUGCGUGUUUCUUACCGGAGGUAGAGCUACUGGAUGGCUAAUGGGCCUCACCAGGUUACUGACGUCAGCCAAACUCCGAAUGCCGGUAAGUGAGAGCGCAGCAGUGAGACUGUGGGGGAUAAGCUUCAUAGUCGAGAGGGAAACAGCCCAGAACACCAACUAAGGUCCCAAAGCGUGUGCUAAGUGGGAAAGGAUGUGGAGUUGCCCAGACAACCAGGAGGUUGGCUUAGAAGCAGCCACCCUUGAAAGAGUGCGUAAUAGCUCACUGGUCAAGUGAUUCCGCGCCGACAAUGUAGCGGGGCUCAAGUACACCACCGAAGUUGUGUCAUUCAUAUAUUAGCCAGGCCUUCGUGGUCCAAGCGUAUGGAUGGGUAGGGGAGCGUCGUGUAGCGAGUGAAGUCGCGGGGUGACCCAGCGGUGGACGCUACACGAGUGAGAAUGCAGGCAUGAGUAGCGAAAGACGGGUGAGAAACCCGUCCGCCGAAUGAUCAAGGGUUCCAGGGCCAGGUUAAUCCGCCCUGGGUAAGUCGGGACCUAAGGCGAGGCCGACAGGCGUAGUCGAUGGACAACGGGUUGAUAUUCCCGUACCGGCGAAGAACCGCCCAUGCAGAAUCAGAUGAUGCUAAGCGCCAGAAGCAGCUGAACCCUUCGGGGGAAUGUCUGUGGAUCGCGCGACCCGAGUCUGUAGUAAGCAAGCGUAUUAACAGGGGUGACGCAGGAAGGUAGCCGAGCGUGGCGAUGGUUGUCCACGUUUAAGGGUGUAGGGCGAGUCGUAGGCAAAUCCGCGACUCACAUAGCCUGAGACCUGAUGAUGACAGCAAUAGCUGGAAAUCGGUGAUCCUAUGCUGCCAAGAAAAACCUCGGCGCGAGGUUCUAGCCGCCCGUACCCCAAACCGACUCAGGUGAUCAGGUAGAGAAUACUAAGGCGAUCGAGAUAAUUAUGGUUAAGGAACUCGGCAAAAUGCCCCCGUAACUUCGGGAGAAGGGGGGCCUGAGGCGUGACGGAACUUGCUUCCCGAGCGUUCGAAGGCCGCAGAGACCAGAGAGAAGCGACUGUUUACUAAAAACACAGGUCCGUGCGAAGUCGCAAGACGAUGUAUACGGACUGACGCCUGCCCGGUGCUGGAAGGUUAAGAGGAAGGGUUAGCCGCAAGGCGAAGCUCAGAAUUUAAGCCCCAGUAAACGGCGGUGGUAACUAUAACCAUCCUAAGGUAGCGAAAUUCCUUGUCGGGUAAGUUCCGACCUGCACGAAUGGCGUAACGACUUCUCUGCUGUCUCAACCGUAAACUCGGCGAAAUUGCAUUACGAGUAAAGAUGCUCGUUACGCGCAGCAGGACGGAAAGACCCCGGGACCUUUACUAUAGCUUGGUAUUGGUAUUUGGUGUGGUUUGUGUAGGAUAGGUGGGAGACUUUGAAGCCGAUACGCCAGUAUUGGUGGAGUCAUUGUUGAAAUACCACUCUGAUCAUUCUAGAUAUCUAACCUCGGUCCGUAAUCCGGAUCAGGGACAGUGCCUGGUGGGUAGUUUAACUGGGGCGGUUGCCUCCCAAAAAGUAACGGAGGCGCUCAAAGGUUCCCUCAGCCUGGUUGGCAAUCAGGUGGCGAGUGCAAGUGUACAAGGGAGCUUGACUGUGAGACUGACAGGUCGAGCAGGGACGAAAGUCGGAACUAGUGACCCGCUGGUGGCAAGUGGAAGCGCCAGCGCUCAACGGAUAAAAGGUACCCCGGGGAUAACAGGCUGAUCCUGCCCAAGAGUCCAUAUCGACGGCAUGGUUUGGCACCUCGAUGUCGGCUCGUCGCAUCCUGGGGCUGGAGUUGGUCCCAAGGGUUGGGCUGUUCGCCCAUUAAAGCGGUACGCGAGCUGGGUUUAGAACGUCGUGAGACAGUUCGGUCCCUAUCCGCUGCGCGCGCAGGAAAUUUGAGAGAAUCUGUCCCUAGUACGAGAGGACCGGGAUGGACAAACCUCUGGUGUGCCAGUUGUUCCGCCAGGAGCACGGCUGGUUGGCUACGUUUGGAACGGAUAACCGCUGAAAGCAUCUAAGCGGGAAGCCGGUCUCAAGAUGAGAUUUCCAUGGACUUCGGUCCUGAAGGCCCCCAGCAGACCACUGGGUUGAUAGGCCGGAUGUGGAAGAGGGGACUAAAGACCCUUGAAGCUGACCGGUACUAAUAGGCCAAUAACUUAACUUC
RNAcentral lists this ribosomal RNA (3099 nucleotides) under Demequina aurantiaca. Its description in RNAcentral is "bacterial LSU rRNA". It matches the Rfam family "Bacterial large subunit ribosomal RNA". Lineage: Bacteria; Bacillati; Actinomycetota; Actinomycetes; Micrococcales; Demequinaceae. The record is from RNAcentral.